RNAcentral lists this ribosomal RNA (440 nucleotides) under uncultured bacterium. RNAcentral describes it as "partial 16S ribosomal RNA". It matches the Rfam family "Bacterial small subunit ribosomal RNA", at positions 338 to 795 of the family's 1533-position model. The record is from RNAcentral.
CCUACGGGAGGCAGCAGUAGGGAAUAUUGCUCAAUGGGCGAAACCCUGAAGCAGCAACGCCGCGUGGAGGAUGAAGGUUUUCGGAUUGUAAACUUCUUUUGUUAGAGAAGAUAAUGACGGUAUGUAACGAAUAAUCACCGGCUAACUCCGUGCCAGCAGCCGCGGUAAUACGCAGGGUGCAAGCGUUACUCGGAAUCACUGGGCGUAAAGAGCGCGUAGGCGGGAUAGCAAGUCAGAUGUGAAAGCCUUUGGCUUAACCGUAGAACUGCAUUUGAAACUGGUAUUCUAGAGUAUGGGAGAGGUAGGUGGAAUUCUUGGUGUAGGGGUAAAAUGCGUAGAGAUCAAGAGGAAUACUCAUUGCGAAGGCGGCUUGCUAGAACAUAACUGACGCUGAUGCGCGAAAGCGUGGGGAGCAAACAGGAUUAGAUACCCGAGUAGUC